UCCGGUUUAGCUCAGUUGGUAGAGUACCUAGCUGUUAACUAGGGAGUCCCUGGUUCGAGUCCAGGAAUCGGAGCCA
RNAcentral lists this transfer RNA (76 nucleotides) under Pseudomonas nitroreducens. Its description in RNAcentral is "tRNA-Asn". It matches the Rfam family "tRNA". Rfam says of the family: Transfer RNA (tRNA) molecules are approximately 80 nucleotides in length. The record is from RNAcentral. Lineage: Bacteria; Pseudomonadati; Pseudomonadota; Gammaproteobacteria; Pseudomonadales; Pseudomonadaceae.